Molecule: long non-coding RNA, 361 nt
Filed under: Citrus x clementina
Lineage: Eukaryota; Viridiplantae; Streptophyta; Magnoliopsida; Sapindales; Rutaceae
Description: Citrus clementina (C. clementina) long non-coding RNA (CCLE_LNC001566)
Source: RNAcentral
GGGGGUAAAAUUGUCAUUUUAUUUAAAUUAUUUAACGGUGUUAGUGCAAAAGUAGCUAGUUGAUACAAAUGUGAAAAGAAAGGUGGUGCAGAGAACAUGUUACAAUUUUUUAGUGGUUGGAUAAAAAUAAGGCAAAACAAAAGUGGUGCAAUGAUAAUUUUCCAAUCUUGAUAAAAGAGAAGGAAAAAGAGUUGAAAAAAAAAUUAAUCUUUAUUUCGAGUAGUGUUUUGAAUAUCCCUUUCAUUAUCCUUUUAACACCCUUUCUUGAUAUAAUUGCAUCUAAGGACAUACAUUUAAUCUCAUUUAAGUACUUUUGUAUUAUCCACCUCCUUACUUCAAAUAAUAAUAAUAAUAAUAAUAA